UUUAAGGUCUAAUCUGCCCAAUGAGGAGUUAAAUGGCCGCGGUAUUUUGACCGUGCAAAGGUAGCAUAAUAAUUAGUUUUUUAAUUGAAAGCUGGAAUGAAUGAUUGGACGAGAAAAUUACUGUCUCGGUUUAAUUUUAUUAGAAAUUUAUUUUUAAGUAAAAAAGCUUAAAUUUUUUUAAAAGACGAGAAGACCCUAUAGAGUUUUAUAUUUAUAACUAUUUUAUUUUUUUAGAAUUAUUAUAUUAAAAUGGUUUAUUGUAUUUUGUUGGGGCGAUAGAAAAAUUUAGUUAACUUUUUUUAUAUAUUUACAUUGAUUUAUGGUUCAAUGAUCCAUUGUUUAUGAUUAUAAGAUUAAAUUACCUUAGGGAUAACAGCGUAAUUUUUUUUUAGAGUUCAAAUCGAAAAAAAAGAUUGCGACCUCGAUGUUGGAUUAAAAUGAAUGUUUGGUGCAGGGGCUAAAUAAUUAGGUCUGUUCGACCUUUAGAAUUUUACA
Molecule: ribosomal RNA, 495 nt
Filed under: Arraphytarsa sp. DA3223
Lineage: Eukaryota; Metazoa; Arthropoda; Insecta; Coleoptera; Scarabaeidae
Description: partial 16S large subunit ribosomal RNA
Rfam family: Bacterial large subunit ribosomal RNA
Source: RNAcentral